RNAcentral lists this ribosomal RNA (443 nucleotides) under uncultured bacterium. RNAcentral's name for it is "partial 16S ribosomal RNA". It matches the Rfam family "Bacterial small subunit ribosomal RNA", at positions 338 to 795 of the family's 1533-position model. The record is from RNAcentral.
CCUACGGGUGGCAGCAGUGGGGAAUAUUGCACAAUGGGCGAAAGCCUGAUGCAGCAACGCCGCGUGAAGGAAGAAGGGUUUCGGCUCGUAAACUUCUAUCAACAGGGACGAAAGAAAUGACGGUACCUGAAUAAGAAGCCCCGGCUAACUACGUGCCAGCAGCCGCGGUAAUACGUAGGGGGCAAGCGUUAUCCGGAAUUACUGGGUGUAAAGGGUGAGUAGGCGGCAUGGUAAGCCAGAUGUGAAAGCCUUGGGCUUAACCCGAGGAUUGCAUUUGGAACUAUCAAGCUAGAGUACAGUAGAGGUGGGCGGAAUUCGUGGUGUAGCGGUGAAAUGCUUAGAUAUCACGAAGAACUCCGAUUGCGAAGGCAGCUCACUGGACUGCAACUGACACUGAGGCUCGAAAGUGUGGGUAUCAAACAGGAUUAGAUACCCGAGUAGUC